AAUAACCUUGUCCAUACUGGACUCACUAGGAUGGAAGAACCGUCUUCUUCCAGGCUUUUGGUUGAAGUUCGCCAAGCGCCGAGAUCAGGCCAUUCCAGAUGACCUGCCACUCGAGUGGUUAACGGGGAGCCUGGUGUCCGCUCGGCAGCGCGACAGCAGCGCUUGUGGCGCUUUUGUUAUGCUGAACGCCUUAGCAAUCACAGAAGGCGUCCAACCCCAUAUGUUGGGCCACCAUCAUGCGUUGGCCAUGCGGAAGUACGUAAUGCAUGCCAUUUGUACUGCCAGCCAGAGCCCCGAUGACCCUGACCGCAUGUGUGAUGCGUUGCCGUGCACGCAGCCAAAGGGGGCUUGCACGUGGAUAAACUGCGAUGUGUGUGGUCGUUGGGUAGAUUGCAACUGUGUUAACAUAAGCGACCCUAAAAGCAUAAAAGACUACGUAUGUGUAAUCUGCACCGCAAUCUAUACAUGACACUGAACUGAAGUGGAAUU
Molecule: long non-coding RNA, 489 nt
Organism: Dreissena polymorpha
Lineage: Eukaryota; Metazoa; Mollusca; Bivalvia; Myida; Dreissenidae
Exons: 3
Source: RefSeq, a predicted model, not a curated record